Motacilla alba alba is the source of this 698-nucleotide long non-coding RNA. RefSeq lists it as uncharacterized. The record is from RefSeq and is a predicted model, not a curated record. The transcript has 4 exons. Lineage: Eukaryota; Metazoa; Chordata; Aves; Passeriformes; Motacillidae.
UUCAAUUGUGGCAGUGGUUGGAAGUUGGGUAGCUGGGUUGGAUGAGGGUGGAACAGAGGUUUGAACUCUGGGGACUGACACCACCUGCAAACACAUCUGCCUGACUGAAGAGAUCAGCUGGGUCAUGGCUGAAUUCCUUGAAAACUUCCAGAAGAGAAAGGUGGAUGAAUUCCCGCAGGACAGGAAGGCCGGGACAACCUCUGCUUCCCAACAGGAGGGCGCAAAGGAAAUGCUCCAUUCGUCGGGGUUCAUUCCCCAUCCGGGGGCGAUGGUAAAUGAUGGGACCAGGCAAGCCCGGCCAUGUGUGAUGGGAGGAGGAGAACUGAAAGGUGUCUUGUAUGGGCCCUGGAGGGGAGAAGAUUAUUUAAACCUGACGUGUCCCCUCUGGUCCUUCUAAUGUUGCCAACCCCGCAAGGCUGUGGAUGCUUUCCCACCUUCGCUCGCUGCUCCAUCUGCCAGGAACUGCGGAUCCCACCCUCCACCGAGCCAACCCCCCGGCCCUCCUUGGAUGGGGGAAGAGGAAGCCGCCCACACCACCCCGAGAAUCCCCCCAUUGUCUUCCUCGCUCCUGGGAAGCCCCUGUGACACAGCCAGGGCUGCGACCGAGCCUCAGCAGGGAGGGGAGGAAUCCCGGACAGGAUGCAAGGAGCGGCAAGGACCCGCAGCGCGGGGUUGGCUUGGCAGCCCCGUUCAGACAA